RNAcentral lists this long non-coding RNA (1002 nucleotides) under Canis lupus familiaris (dog). RNAcentral describes it as "lncRNA (ENSCAFG00030016654.1)". The record is from RNAcentral. Lineage: Eukaryota; Metazoa; Chordata; Mammalia; Carnivora; Canidae.
AUGCCCCUGAAGUUCAGGGACUUGGGGGCGAGUGUCCCCCGCGCCGAGGCGGGGGCGCAACGGCGUCGGCGGGGCCCGGGCCCACAACGGCCGGCCGUGCGCCCCCGCCUCCGCCCCGGCGCCGCGCAGCCCCUCCCGGCAGCGGCCGGAGCCCGCGGGGCCCGCGCCUUCCCGCGCCGCGGCCGCCGCCGUCACAUGCCGUCCGCGCCGCCCAGGAGGCCUCGCCCCCGCGCCCAGCCCCCCGCAGCCCCUCGACCCAAAGUUUCGGCCUCAAGAGCGGUUGCAGGGCGCGCGGGCUCGGGGCGCCGGGCGGCGGCGGGCGGGCGGGCGGGUCGGCGCGGCCGGAGCGCGCACACCGGCGGGGGUCGCGACAGCGCCCGGCCGGCCCCGGGACACGUCCACAACUUUGCGCGGCCGCGGAGCGGGGGCCGCCGCGGGAGCCGGCACUUCUGCGCCUGCCGGGCCCCCGGGGGCCGAGGGAUGCGCGAGCCGCGGUCCGGAGCCGGACGCCGUCCGCGACCAGCCGCGGCGGGGCGGCCGCAGCUGCGCCCGGGAGUGCGGGCUCCCGCCCCGCCAACUCGGGAGGGCUCGGCGCCCCGCUGCGAUCACCUGUUCCCGGCCCCCGCCGGCCCCGCGGGGCGCGCAGCCCCGGCUGCACCGCUCUCGCCGCAGCCCGCGCGUCCUCGCGGCGGCCGCUCCAGACGGGCCGCCGCCGCCGCCGCCGCAGGCUCCUCCGCCGCCGCCGAGCCUGCGCCCCACACCCGCGCGCACCGCCCGGACGCCGCCGCCGCCGCCGCCGCAGCUCCGGCUUUCACUGAGACGGCGCCCGCGGCCCCGCCUCCCGGGCCACGCCCUCGGGCCACGCCCACUGCGCGCGCCCCGCGGGCCUCCUCCGCCGCGGCGCCGCGGCCGAGCCAAUGGCCCCGCGUCCGUGGGCAGGGAGCGCGGGAGCCGAGCGCGGGUGGGCAGAGGCGACGGGACUCCAAGCCACGCCCCCCCGGC